AGGAAAAGAAACCAACAGGGAUUGCCCUAGUAACGGCGAGUGAAGCGGCAACAGCUCAAAUUUGAAAUCUGGCGUCUUCGGCGUCCGAGUUGUAAUUUGCAGAGGGCGCUUUGGCAUUGGCAGCGGUCCAAGUUCCUUGGAACAGGACGUCACAGAGGGUGAGAAUCCCGUACGUGGUCGCUAGCCUUUACCGUGUAAAGCCCCUUCGACGAGUCGAGUUGUUUGGGAAUGCAGCUCUAAAUGGGAGGUAAAUUUCUUCUAAAGCUAAAUACUGGCCAGAGACCGAUAGCGCACAAGUAGAGUGAUCGAAAGAUGAAAAGCACUUUGGAAAGAGAGUUAAAAAGCACGUGAAAUUGUUGAAAGGGAAGCGCUUGCAGCCAGACUUGCCUGUAGUUGCUCAUCCGGGUUUCUACCCGGUGCACUCUUUUAUAGGCAGGCCAGCAUCAGUUUGGGCGGUCGGAUAAAGGUCUCUGUCAUGUACCUCCUCUCGGGGAGAACUUAUAGGGGAGACGACAUGCAACCAGCCCGGGGUGAGGUCCGCGCAUCUGCUAGGAUGCUGGCGUAAUGGCUGUAAGCGGCCCGUCUUGAAACACGGACCAAGGAGUCUAACAUCUAUGCGAGUGUUUGGGUGUCAAGCCCGAACGCGUAAUGAAAGUGAACGGAGGUGGGAACCUUUCGGGGUGCACCAUCGACCGAUCCUGAUGUCUUCGGAUGGAUUUGAGUAAGAGCAUAGCUGUUGGGACCCGAAAGAUGGUGAACUAUGCUUGAAUAGGGUGAAGCCAGAGGAAACUCUGGUGGAGGCUCGCAGCGGUUCUGACGUGCAAAUCGAU
Molecule: ribosomal RNA, 830 nt
Filed under: Lasiodiplodia chonburiensis
Lineage: Eukaryota; Fungi; Ascomycota; Dothideomycetes; Botryosphaeriales; Botryosphaeriaceae
Description: partial 28S large subunit ribosomal RNA
Rfam family: Eukaryotic large subunit ribosomal RNA
Source: RNAcentral